GAUGAACGCUGGCGGCGUGCCUAAUACAUGCAAGUAGAACGCUGAAGGAGGAGCUUGCUCUUUUGGACGAGUUGCGAACGGGUGAGUAACGCGUAGGUAACCUGCCUGUUAGCGGGGGAUAACUAUUGGAAACGCUAGCUAAUACCGCAUGACAACAGUUAUUGCAUGAUAACUGUUUAAAAGGGGCAACUGCUCCACUACCAGAUGGUCCUGCGUUGUCUUAGCUAGUUGGUGAGGUAACCGCUCAACAAGACGACAAUACAUAGCCGACCGGCGAGGGGGGUCGGCCAAACUGGGACUGAGACACGGCCCAAGCUUCUAAGGGAGGCAGCAGGAGGGGAUCUUCGGCAAAGGACGGAAGGCUGACCGGGCAACGCCGCGGGAGUGAAGGAGGGUUUCGGAUCGGAAAGCUCCGUUGUAAGAGAAGAACGAGUGUGAGAGUGGAAAGUUCACACUGUGACGGUAUCUAACCAGAAAGGGACGGCUAACUACGUG
Molecule: ribosomal RNA, 495 nt
Filed under: uncultured bacterium
Lineage: Bacteria
Description: partial 16S ribosomal RNA
Rfam family: Bacterial small subunit ribosomal RNA
Source: RNAcentral